CUACGGGGUGCAGCAGUGAGGAAUAUUGCACAAUGGGGGGAACCCUGAUGCAGCAACGCCGCGUGGAGGAUGACGCAUUUCGGUGUGUAAACUCCUUUUAUAUGUCAAGAAAAUGACGGUAGCAUAUGAAUAAGCACCGGCUAACUCCGUGCCAGCAGCAGCGGUAAUACGGAGGGUGCAAGCGUUACUCGGAAUCACUGGGCGUAAAGGACGCGUAGGCGGGUUGGAAAGUCAGGUGUGAAAUCCUACAGCUUAACUGUAGGACUGCACUUGAAACUUCUAAUCUAGAGUAUGGGAGGGGGAGAUGGAAUUAGUGGUGUAGGGGUAAAAUCCGUAGAUAUCACUAGGAAUACCUAAAGCGAAGGCGAUCUCCUGGAACAUUACUGACGCUAAGGCGUGAAAGCGUGGGGAGCAAACAGGAUUAGAUACCCUUGUAGUC
RNAcentral lists this ribosomal RNA (439 nucleotides) under uncultured bacterium. RNAcentral's name for it is "partial 16S ribosomal RNA". It matches the Rfam family "Bacterial small subunit ribosomal RNA", at positions 339 to 795 of the family's 1533-position model. The record is from RNAcentral.